AUGCAAGUCGAACGGUAACAGCAGAGCUUGCUCUGGCUGACGAGUGGCGCACGGGUGCGUAACGCGUAUACAAUCUACCUAUUACUGGAGUAUAGCCCGAAGAAAUUUGGAUUAAUCCUCCAUAGUAUUAUUGAAUGGCAUCAUUUAGUAAUUAAAACUACGGUGGUAAUAGAUGAGUAUGCGUCCUAUUAGUUUGUUGGUAAGGUAACGGCUUACCAAGGCAUCGAUAGGUAGGGGUCCUGAGAGGGAGAUCCCCCACACUGGUACUGAGACACGGACCAGACUCCUACGGGAGGCAGCAGUGAGGAAUAUUGGACAAUGGAGGAAACUCUGAUCCAGCCAUGCCGCGUGCAGGAAGACUGCCCUAUGGGUCGUAAACUGCUUUUAUAGAGGAAGAAACCUUCUUACGUGUAAGAAGCUGACGGUACUCUAC
RNAcentral lists this ribosomal RNA (433 nucleotides) under uncultured bacterium. RNAcentral's name for it is "bacterial SSU rRNA". It matches the Rfam family "Bacterial small subunit ribosomal RNA", at positions 55 to 483 of the family's 1533-position model. The record is from RNAcentral.